GUUUUUCCAUUGACCUUAGUCGGAGGGCACAGUGAAACUAAGGGCCGCCUGAAGAGAUCUCCUGUGUUCGGGACACUCUUACCUCCACAGAGGGCCACGGUCCCACAGUCUCUCUUUGGAAUGAGAAAAGUGCCACUCAGAGAAGUUAACGCAAGGUUAUACAGUUCCUAAAUGACGCCUGUGGGGAGGAGUCCGGUGGACUGAUGUCCCACGAGGGGACUGCGCCUAUGGUCUGUCAACAAGUCUGACCUUCUUCACAGGGUCGCUGACCAGGUACAAGGAGCACCUGCUGCUGGAGAAGCCCCAGGACAGUGGGCAGAGCUCACAGUGCCUGGCAUGAACUUUGGAACUGUCAUCUUUCUAAAAGGGGUCCUUCCUCUCCACAAGACACAACGAACCCACGAGCCGCCCAAGUCCCUGAAGCAUCUAUGUGGCACUCCCACUGCAGGCGUUCAGGCUUAAAGAGAAGACAGCCCUUGACCUUCCUGGAACAGACACUCCAGAGGAUAGACCAAAAAGGGCUCCAGAGGAGAGGAGAGGUGGGGGACAGAGGAACGCUGGGGGCUGGAGUUCCCAAGGACCAGAGUUUCUGUAGAGGUGCCUGUCUGUCACACAUGUGUCCUGUGUGUGCAAAGUCACUGCCAAUGGGGCCUGUCCUUGGGACUCUGGAGAUCUCCCUUCCUUCUCUGGGCUCCUUUACUCAGUUCUUCACAGUCCCAGGCCUUAUCGCUGAGCUGUCCACCCUCUGGCCUCUUCCCUUUGUUUACCAACUUGGCUGGCUUUCUCCGCUGGGCUGGGAACAAAGGAGGUGUUCAGUUCCUGGCUCCCGCCCCCCGCCCCCCAUUCCCUUCCCCUUUUCCAGGAGGGUUGCUUGGCUCAGACAAACCCCUCACUUCUCAGAGGCCCCUUCCCACACUUUUGGCUCCAGGGGAGGCGGGGCUCUUUGGUUGGCACCCCCUCUUUCUCACCGUCUGGCCCCCAUUCCUGUCCCCAGUGAGGCCCCUGAAGCUUUGCUUGUCUGAGCUGGAGACAGCUCCUCUCCCCAUUGUCUGGGCAGGAUUUGGAAGCUCUUGUUUCCAUAGUAACCCCUGGGCAUUUAAUUAAGGGAGGAGGCCUUCGUCUCUCCUAGGCUGGGCAGUUCCAAAUCUCAGCCAGAAAAGGAUACCCUGAGGGGGCGAUGGAAAAGUGUCAUCCUCCAGCACAGCACAAUUCAGGCUUCUCCCCAGAGUCCAGUA
Molecule: non-coding RNA, 1235 nt
Organism: Heterocephalus glaber (naked mole-rat)
Lineage: Eukaryota; Metazoa; Chordata; Mammalia; Rodentia; Bathyergidae
Source: RefSeq, a predicted model, not a curated record